CCUUGGGUGGUGAAAAUGGUUAAUAUGUUUGGCUGCUAACCAAAAGGUUGGAGGUUCGAGUCUGCCCAGGA
This 71-nucleotide transfer RNA is filed under the name Loxodonta africana (African savanna elephant). It matches the Rfam family "tRNA". From Rfam's summary of the family: Transfer RNA (tRNA) molecules are approximately 80 nucleotides in length. Their secondary structure includes four short double-helical elements and three loops (D, anti-codon, and T loops). The record is from Rfam by way of RNAcentral. Lineage: Eukaryota; Metazoa; Chordata; Mammalia; Proboscidea; Elephantidae.